RNAcentral lists this ribosomal RNA (253 nucleotides) under uncultured bacterium. RNAcentral describes it as "partial 16S ribosomal RNA". It matches the Rfam family "Bacterial small subunit ribosomal RNA", at positions 524 to 776 of the family's 1533-position model. The record is from RNAcentral.
UACGUAGGGGGCAAGCGUUGUCCGGAAUCAUUGGGCGUAAAGAGCGUGUAGGCGGCCAGAAAAGUCCGCUGUGAAAACUCGAGGCUCAACUUCGAGCUGUCGGUGGAAACUUUCUGGCUAGAGUCCGGAAGAGGAGAAUGGAAUUCCUGGUGUAGCGGUGAAAUGCGCAGAUAUCAGGAAGAACACCCGUGGCGAAGGCGGUUCUCUGGGACGGUACUGACGCUAAGGCGCGAAAGCGUGGGGAGCAAACAGG